RNAcentral lists this microRNA precursor (59 nucleotides) under Taeniopygia guttata (zebra finch). RNAcentral describes it as "Tgu-Mir-148-P4_pre stem-loop". Lineage: Eukaryota; Metazoa; Chordata; Aves; Passeriformes; Estrildidae. The record is from RNAcentral.
GGGGUUCUGUCCUACACUGGGCUGUGGCUCUGGGCAGUCAGUGCAUCACAGAACUUGGU